Oncorhynchus keta (chum salmon) is the source of this 1057-nucleotide long non-coding RNA. RefSeq lists it as uncharacterized. The transcript is spliced from 3 exons. The record is from RefSeq and is a predicted model, not a curated record. Lineage: Eukaryota; Metazoa; Chordata; Actinopteri; Salmoniformes; Salmonidae.
CCUCCUGCCAUCAGAUUGAGAUCGCGCUGUCUGAAGAGAAGGAAGGACAUAUUGGACUGUUUUCUAUGAUUUCUGUUAUUGCCUGCAUCUAAUUGAGGAUCAAGCCAGGGAAGACCGGUCUGUGACAGAGAUCUACUUUCAGAGAACAGCAGCUUGAUGCCAACCUGAGGAGGGAGGGAUGUGUAUAGUAUCUGUAAAUGAAUGUGUUUAUGAUGACUUUCCCAUAAACCCUCAGGGAAAUAUGACCCCCCUAGUUCCCAGGCCAGGGUGUUUGUGUGUGUGUGUGUGUGUGUGUGUGCUCACACAUGCUUAUGUGUAUGCUCACGUGCGAGCAUGUUUGUUCCCAAGAAAGAGAGGUCCAACUGCGGGUUCAGACCCUGUUCUGUCCUGGCUGUGGUGGAAAAAGUACCCAAUUGUCAUACUUAAGUAAAAGUAAAGAUACCUUAAUAGAAAAUGACUCAAGUAACAGUGAAAGUCACCCAGUAAAAUAAUAGUUGAGUAAAAGUCUAAAAGUAUUUGGUUUUAAAUAUACUUAAGUCUCAUAAGUAAAUGUAAUUGCUCAAAUAUAUUUUUUACUUAAAUAAAAGUAAAAAUAUAAAUUAUUUAAAAAAUUCCUUAUAUUAAGCAAACCAAACGGCAUGAUUCUUGUUUUUUCCCAAUUACGGAUAGCUAGGGGCACACUCCAACACUCUGACAUAAUUUACAAACAAAGCAUUUGUAUUUAGUCCGUCUGCAGAUCAGAUGUGGUAGGAAUGACCAGGGAUUGUCACGCCCUGACCAUAGAGAGCCCUCGGGGUUCUCUAUGGUGUUUUAGGUCAGCGCGUGACUAGGGGGGUUUCUAGGUAUUCUAUUUCUAUGUUGGUGUGUGUCUAUGGUUCCCAAUUGGAGACAGCUGAUGAUCGUUACCUCUAAUUGGGGAUCAUACUUUGUUUGUCCUUUUUCCCACCUGCGAUGUGGGAUAUUGUUUUGUGUGAGUGCCUAUGUGCGCCGUGUAUUUUACGAUCGUUAUGUCUUUGUUGUUUUGGAAGUCUCACGAUCAUUAAAAUGUGGAACUCUA